RNAcentral lists this long non-coding RNA (200 nucleotides) under Hordeum vulgare. RNAcentral's name for it is "long non-coding RNA (HVUL_LNC009604)". Lineage: Eukaryota; Viridiplantae; Streptophyta; Magnoliopsida; Poales; Poaceae. The record is from RNAcentral.
AAACAUACCACUCAUAUAAAUAGAACAACCAUUAUUCUCAAAUUUAAAUGAGUAGCCAUCAUGCAUCAAGCGAGAUCCCGAUACAAUGUUCAUGCUCAAAGCUGGUACUAAAUAACAAUUAUGAAGGUCUAAAACUAACCCCGAAGGUAGAUGUAGAGGUAGCGUGCCGACGACGAUCACAUCGACCUUGGAACCAUUCC